CUCUUAUUAAGAACCACAUAGAUGAGGAUCGUUUUAAAGUGGUGGCAACCCUUUAUGAAGAAGGUGCCUUUACCUAGCAAGGAAACUUGAACAAUAAGAG
Molecule: non-coding RNA, 100 nt
Filed under: Kandleria vitulina
Lineage: Bacteria; Bacillati; Bacillota; Erysipelotrichia; Erysipelotrichales; Coprobacillaceae
Also listed under: 1 other name
Description: SAM-I sequence
Rfam family: SAM riboswitch aptamer (S box leader)
About the family: The SAM riboswitch is found upstream of a number of genes which code for proteins involved in methionine or cysteine biosynthesis in Gram-positive bacteria. The SAM riboswitch acts at the level of transcription termination control.
Source: RNAcentral